UUCAAAUGCUGCCUUCAUUAGGGUGUAUUUUGAAAGCAGCAUCCCAUGUAAUCCUUCUCCGGGGAGGCUAUCACAUAACACCUUGUGGCGCACGGGAAAUUCUGAAAAAAAGUCUGAAUUAAUGGCAGACACAAGUCCCCGUUUGAGAGAACAUUUUCCAGAAGAAUAAUGAAUAACUUCGAAAUGGACAGGAGAAAACAGUCCUGCCAGACUUGUUUGGAGAUUCAGUCUCUCUCUCUCCAAUCUCUUUAGGCGCAUGUUUUUCAUGCCGUCCCCAAUGGUUGAAGAAGCUGGUGUCAUGGGUCAAGAGCUGCCGAGAGCUCCUCUUUCCUCUCUUUAAUUUUCUCUCUCCCCCUAUUGCCGGCACUCCCGAGACCCCAGCUGCUUUCGUCUCUUGUUGGAGAUCCGCGGUGUCGACAACCUCUCCAUGCACGGGGCGAGGGCGAAUGACUAGCGCUCUCCAGCUGCGCCUUCAAUUACCUGCUGUGCACCGAGCUCAUACAGGCCCCAGCGAACCAUAGGAGAUCUGCUGGGUUUCCUGGCACGCUGUAUGCCAAGUAGCUGCCAGUCGAGGAGGCACAGCAUCUGUUAAGCCCUCAGUUUUUAAGGCAAACAGUUCGGUUGGAAAGAAAAGUGAGCUUUGCAUUGGGUAGUAAAGAAAGUGAGCUUUGCAUUAGGUAGUAAGCAUCCAUAGUGAUACAGUUUGCCCUCUCUUGACAUCUCACCCCAAAGAGUUUGGUUUGGAAUACAGCCUUCAAUUUUAAUUGGUAGAUUGUUACAUUUAUUAUUCAUGAUUACUUCUGCUUUUAACUUGUCUAAAGGAGAAAUCCAGGUUUCUAUCAAUUGAAAAGGCUGCUGUUGGUUUUGAGCAUAUCAUUGUUUGCCCAGUGUGUUUAACUGUGGCUAUAAAUGUAUGUUGGUUUGCUGCUGUAAACAGGUUGUUUACUGUCCUCUAUGAGCUGUGUAAAUACAGAGUAUUACAGUAUGUUGUAUUUAUAAUACCUUAGUCUCAGUGAGCUGCGCGCAUAUAAUGGUUCUGCUAUACCCUUAUUAGCAUUUUCAAAGAC
This is a long non-coding RNA of Oncorhynchus gorbuscha (pink salmon), 1067 nucleotides long. RefSeq lists it as uncharacterized. The transcript has 3 exons. Lineage: Eukaryota; Metazoa; Chordata; Actinopteri; Salmoniformes; Salmonidae. The record is from RefSeq and is a predicted model, not a curated record.